RNAcentral lists this ribosomal RNA (497 nucleotides) under uncultured bacterium. Its description in RNAcentral is "partial 16S ribosomal RNA". It matches the Rfam family "Bacterial small subunit ribosomal RNA", at positions 28 to 507 of the family's 1533-position model. The record is from RNAcentral.
GAUGAACGCUGGCGGCGUGCCUAAUACAUGCAAGUAGAACGCUGAAGGAAGGAGCUUGCUCUUUCCGGAUGAGUUGCGAACGGGUGAGUAACGCGUAGGUAACCUGCCUGGUAGCGGGGGAUAACUAUUGGAAACGAUAGCUAAUACCGCAUAACAGUAGAUGUUGCAUGAUAUCUACUUAAAAGGUGCAAUUGCACCACUACCAGAUUGACCUGCGUUGUAUUAGCUAGUUGGUGAGGUAACGGCUCACCAAGGCGACGAUACAUAGCCGACCUGAGAGGGUGAUCGGCCACACUGGGACUGAGACACGGCCCAGACUCCUACGGGAGGCAGCAGUAGGGAAUCUUCGGCAAUGGACGGAAGUCUGGCCGAGCAACGCCGCGUGAGUGAAGAAGGUUUUCGGAUCGUAAAGCUCUGUUGUAAGAGAAGAACGAGUGUGAGAGUGGAAAGUUCACACUGUGACGGUAUCUUACCAGAAAGGGACGGCUAACUACGUG